CCUACGGGGGGCAGCAGUGGGGAAUAUUGCACAAUGGGGGAAACCCUGAUGCAGCAACGCCGCGUGAGUGAUGAAGGUUUUCGGAUCGUAAAGCUCUGUCUUUGGGGAAGAUAAUGACGGUACCCAAGGAGGAAGCCACGGCUAACUACGUGCCAGCAGCCGCGGUAAUACGUAGGUGGCGAGCGUUAUCCGGAUUUACUGGGCGUAAAGGGAGCGUAGGCGGAUGAUUAAGUGGGAUGUGAAAUACCCGGGCUCAACUUGGGUGCUGCAUUCCAAACUGGUUAUCUAGAGUGCAGGAGAGGAGAGUGGAAUUCCUAGUGUAGCGGUGAAAUGCGUAGAGAUUAGGAAGAACACCAGUGGCGAAGGCGACUCUCUGGACUGUAACUGACGCUGAGGCUCGAAAGCGUGGGGAGCAAACAGGAUUAGAUACCCGAGUAGUC
Molecule: ribosomal RNA, 440 nt
Filed under: uncultured bacterium
Lineage: Bacteria
Description: bacterial SSU rRNA
Rfam family: Bacterial small subunit ribosomal RNA
Source: RNAcentral